Molecule: non-coding RNA, 123 nt
Organism: Mus musculus (house mouse)
Lineage: Eukaryota; Metazoa; Chordata; Mammalia; Rodentia; Muridae
Source: RefSeq, marked provisional
CAUGUGUGCUUACUUGUAUGUGCAUUGUAUGUGUUGACAUGAUAUACAUAACAUAAACACACGUGUAUCUGCAAGCACACACACACAGGAAAAAUUGCAUUCAUUUAUACGUUUGAAUGAUAU